GGGUUUUCCCAAACCAGAGCUGGGCGUGGGAGCCACGCUGGCCGUGGGGAAACCUUGUGGCAGCCCCGCCACGGCCACGCGUGUCCCUGCAGGGUGGCAGGGCCAGCCUGGCGUGACAGCAGCUCGUGCCUCAGUUUCCAGGCUGCUUCCCUUCUUACCCAACGCCUGCCCAAGGAUGGAGGAGGAGGAGGAACUCACGAGGGAAUGAGAUUCGUACCUUGAUCUCCUGCAGCAGGAGCAGGAGACAGGAAUGGUUGGCAUGCACACGUGUAAGAGCAAAGAGGACGAAACAUCAGCAGCUGGAGAGUCUGAGAAAUUCCCCAUUUCUCAUCCCUCCAGAUCUGGACGAUCUGCUGCCAGUGACGCUGCUGGGGGAAGUCGGGACUCGGUGGCCUUUCCUUCACCCCAUGUUUGAAGCGAUGGCACUGCUCUCUCAGCAGCCCAGUGCUGAUGACUAACAGUUCCUGGUGAAGCACCAAGUGCUCCGCUUUGUGUUUUUUUUCAAGAUUUUUUUCCUGCUGGCGAGGCGUGAUGUUGGACAUUUCAAAUGUGGGAACCCGGUCAGAGCUCGUGGCGUGACUCACGUCGACCUCAACAGCACUGUCCUUAGGGACACCAACAGGACCUUGGCACUGGAGUCUCAGGAGUGGGCACUGUGGGCUCCAAGUGAGGUUUCCUCAG
Long non-coding RNA from Motacilla alba alba, 681 nucleotides. RefSeq lists it as uncharacterized. NCBI's taxonomy places the organism in Eukaryota, Metazoa, Chordata, Aves, Passeriformes, Motacillidae. The record is from RefSeq and is a predicted model, not a curated record. The transcript has 4 exons.